This 494-nucleotide ribosomal RNA is filed under the name uncultured bacterium. RNAcentral describes it as "partial 16S ribosomal RNA". It matches the Rfam family "Bacterial small subunit ribosomal RNA", at positions 29 to 505 of the family's 1533-position model. The record is from RNAcentral.
AUGAACGCUGGCGGCGUGCCUAAUACAUGCAAGUCGAGCGAACAGACGAGGAGCUUGCUCCUCUGACGUUAGCGGCGGACGGGUGAGUAACACGUGGAUAACCUACCUAUAAGACUGGGAUAACUUCGGGAAACCGGAGCUAAUACCGGAUAAUAUAUUGAACCGCAUGGUUCAAUAGUGAAAGACGGUUUUGCUGUCACUUAUAGAUGGAUCCGCGCCGCAUUAGCUAGUUGGUAAGGUAACGGCUUACCAAGGCAACGAUGCGUAGCCGACCUGAGAGGGUGAUCGGCCACACUGGAACUGAGACACGGUCCAGACUCCUACGGGAGGCAGCAGUAGGGAAUCCUCCGCAAUGGGCGAAAGCCUGACGGAGCAACGCCGCGUGAGUGAUGAAGGUCUUCGGAUCGUAAAACUCUGUUAUUAGGGAAGAACAAAUGUGUAAGUAACUAUGCACGUCUUGACGGUACCUAAUCAGAAAGCCACGGCUAACUACG